GGUGUAGUUCAAUGGUAGAGUGCAUGUUUAGUAUGUAUGGAGCCCUGGGUUCAAUUUCCAGCACC
RNAcentral lists this transfer RNA (65 nucleotides) under Fukomys damarensis (Damara mole-rat). It matches the Rfam family "tRNA". Rfam says of the family: Transfer RNA (tRNA) molecules are approximately 80 nucleotides in length. Their secondary structure includes four short double-helical elements and three loops (D, anti-codon, and T loops). Further hydrogen bonds mediate the characteristic L-shaped molecular structure. tRNAs have two regions of fundamental functional importance: the anti-codon, which is responsible for specific mRNA codon recognition, and the 3' end, to which the tRNAs corresponding amino acid is attached (by aminoacyl-tRNA synthetases). tRNAs cope with the degeneracy of the genetic code in two manners: having more than one tRNA (with a specific anti-codon) for a particular amino acid; and 'wobble' base-pairing, i.e. permitting non-standard base-pairing at the 3rd anti-codon position. The record is from Rfam by way of RNAcentral. Lineage: Eukaryota; Metazoa; Chordata; Mammalia; Rodentia; Bathyergidae.